Long non-coding RNA from Rhododendron vialii, 523 nucleotides. RefSeq lists it as uncharacterized. The transcript has 3 exons. The record is from RefSeq and is a predicted model, not a curated record. Lineage: Eukaryota; Viridiplantae; Streptophyta; Magnoliopsida; Ericales; Ericaceae.
CAUCUCACUCUUCCCUCCUCUCUCCCUCACAACUCCCUCUCUCACGAUGACAUGCAUCCAAACCUAGAAGAUCGAAACCCUUGAACCCAAGGCGACGUCCUCCUCUUUCCCUUCAUCUCCAAUCGAAACCCUAAAUCGACAGAGCACGUCAAACUCUCAAAACCAUACGAAAGUGAUAUACUUAAAUCUCAUUUGGGUCUGAAGACUAAAGUGCAAGUUCCACCUUGAGAAAGAAGAUUCAGUACCUUUAUUGUUGGAGAUGGAGAUUGCUCUACUGUUGAAUGGGAACUGUUAAGAAGAAUUUUCUCCUAAUAUUCUCAUUCUAUUAUAUGAAGACAUGUACACACCGUCUUGGAUUGUUAGAGAUACAAAUUUUUGGGUUAUAUUUGUUGUUCAUAUGCUCACUUUUGGGUUAUGGUUGGACAUGGAGGCUGUUGAUUCUCUUCUAUUUCAAGACCAGAUGUUACUUCAAUGCAAGUAUGAUGAACGAAAAAUAUUUAUGUUCAUUUGCUGAAAAAAUUGG